This 253-nucleotide ribosomal RNA is filed under the name uncultured bacterium. RNAcentral's name for it is "partial 16S ribosomal RNA". It matches the Rfam family "Bacterial small subunit ribosomal RNA", at positions 524 to 776 of the family's 1533-position model. The record is from RNAcentral.
UACGAAGGGGGCUAGCGUUGCUCGGAAUUACUGGGCGUAAAGGGCGCGUAGGCGGUUUGGUUAGUUAGGCGUGAAAUUCCUGGGCUCAACCUGGGGGCUGCGCUUAAUACAGCCAGACUAGAGUGUGAAAGAGGGUCGUGGAAUUCCCAGUGUAGAGGUGAAAUUCGUAGAUAUUGGGAAGAACACCGGUGGCGAAGGCGGCGACCUGGUUCAUUACUGACGCUGAGGCGCGAAAGCGUGGGGAGCAAACAGG